AACGAGGAAUUCCUGGUAAGUGCAAGUCAUAAGCUUGCGCUGAUUACGUCCCUGCCCUUUGUACACACCGCCCGUCGCUACUACCGAUUGAAUGGUUUAGUGAGGUCGUUGGAUUGGUGUCGUUGUAGUGGCGUUGCCGCUCGACUGAUGCUGAGAAGAUGACCUAAUUUGACUAUUUAGAGGAAGUAAAAGUCGUAACAAGGUUUCCGUAGGUGAACCUGCGGAAGGAUCAUUAACAUAACCCAAAAAUAUAUAAUAAUGCAUGCACCUGGCUUCGUGCUGGGCUGUAUGUACCCUGGCUNGUGAAAUUCUGGGAUCGCCGCCAGACAAACUACAGCGAAAGCAUUUGCCAAGAAUGUUUUCAUUGAUCAGGAGCGAAAGUCAGAGUUUCGAAGACGAUCAGAUACCGUCGUAGUUCUGACCAUAAACGAUGCCAACUGACGAUCCGCGUUGGUUCUAUAAUUGACAUCGCGGGCAGUCCCCGGGAAACCUUUAAGUCUUUGGGCUCCGGGGGGAGUAUGGUUGCAAAGCUGAAACUUAAAGGAAUUGACGGAAGGGCACCACCAGGAGUGGAGCCUGCGGUUUAAUUCGACUCAACACGGGAAAACUCACCCGGCCCGGACACUGUGAGGAUUGACAGAUUGAUAGCUCUUUCUUGAUUCGGUGGAUGGUGGUGCAUGGCCGUUCUUAGUUGGUGGAGCGAUUUGUCUGGUUAAUUCCGAUAACGAACGAGACUUUAACCUGCUAAAUAGUAGACUGGUCCUCUGUGCUCGUUUAGGGCGCGGCUUCUAUUGCUUCUUUAUGGAGUAGUGUGGUCGUGAUCCGGCGGGUGCGGUGCCAGUUUUUACUUCUUAGAGGGACAAGCGGCACACUUAAGUCGCACGAAAUUGAGCAAUAACAGGUCUGUGAUGCCCUUAGAUGUCCGGGGCCACACGUGCGCUACAAUGACGGUGCCAGCGAGUCUGGAAACCUGGCCCGAAAGGGUUGGGCAAACUGUUUCAUCACCGUCGUGACUGGGAUCGGGGCUUGCAAUUAUUCCCCGUGAACGAGGAAUUCCUGGUAAGUGCAAGUCAUAAGCUUGCGCUGAUUACGUCCCUGCCCUUUGUACACACCGCCCGUCGCUACUACCGAUUGAAUGGUUUAGUGAGGUCGUUGGAUUGGUGUCGUUGUAGUGGCGUUGCCGCUCGACUGAUGCUGAGAAGAUGACCUAAUUUGACUAUUUAGAGGAAGUAAAAGUCGUAACAAGGUUUCCGUAGGUGAACCUGCGGAAGGAUCAUUA
RNAcentral lists this non-coding RNA (1279 nucleotides) under Schistosoma margrebowiei. RNAcentral describes it as "Eukaryotic small subunit ribosomal RNA". It matches the Rfam family "Eukaryotic small subunit ribosomal RNA", at positions 667 to 1831 of the family's 1831-position model. The record is from Rfam by way of RNAcentral. Lineage: Eukaryota; Metazoa; Platyhelminthes; Trematoda; Strigeidida; Schistosomatidae.